This 1026-nucleotide long non-coding RNA is filed under the name Chrysemys picta bellii (western painted turtle). RNAcentral's name for it is "lncRNA (ENSCPBG00000019332.1)". Lineage: Eukaryota; Metazoa; Chordata; Testudines; Emydidae. The record is from RNAcentral.
AAAAAUGCAAGCCCAUUUACUGAACUCCCACACAUCUUAAGCCCUACACAGCUAUUUGGAAUGGAGUGUAAAAUCACACUAGGAAGUUUAGCACUCAUAGUCUAGUUGUCAAAAGGAAUAAUGCACAAAAGAUGGACCUUUACCAGGCUAGUCACCAGAGAAUUGCUAUAGUUUCCUUCCCAAUACAAGUCUUCAGAUGUGCCUAAGCUUUCCCUUCUUGGAUUUACAGAUUCUUAACUGACUUGCCACAUCACUGCCACAAGAACAACGUUCUCUGGAAUAAUUUUUACACUUCUAGUGCUACUCCCAGCCCAAAGCAAGAAGUACAAAGGAACUAUUCAACGGGCUCUGCGUUUGUGUGGGAAGCUACAGCUGGCAGAUGUCAGUUCUUUACGGAGAAAAGAGCUCAUCUAGGCGUGAAACAAAAUCCUGCAUAUCUUACUAGUGAAUGCUUCCUCUGAAGUUUCAGAGCAUACAAUGUGACUAAGAGGCAGAAUGACUAUUUCUACCCCACCAAACACAGCAUGGGAGAAAUUCAGCCCGGGCAGAAGGCCAACCCAAAAUGAUCAUUUAUGAAAACUAUGGGCAUUGGACCAGAGCCUCAGCUGGUGUAAAGCAGCAUAGCUCCACUGAAGUAAUUGAUUUACACCCAGUGAGUCUCUAGCUCCAUAACUUUAGAGUGAACGGAUCUUAAAUUCCCAAUAAUCCUACAAAACACCUGCGAGUAAAACAAAUGGACUCAUACUUCAGUAUUUUAUCUGUAGCCAUGUUUUAUUUUCUGUAUGUUUUUAGACUGUUUAAAUAGCUAUGGAACCAUAUUAACAUAUGGAACUGCAAUUUUGUUUUAUUCAUGUCAGUGUACUUUAUCAGUUGAAGCUGACAGCUAUGGCUUUUGAGCAUGAUGGUAAUGCAAUAAUUAAAUGUAUAUGAGAGCAAAUGCAAAGUCUAAAAAUGUAUAACUAUCUUCAGAGAUAAUGUAUAUACUUCCAGAAUAAAGCAAUUAGUGUUUAUUUAUGAAUGAUAUGU